This 1059-nucleotide long non-coding RNA is filed under the name Felis catus (domestic cat). Its description in RNAcentral is "lncRNA (ENSFCAG00000044880.2)". Lineage: Eukaryota; Metazoa; Chordata; Mammalia; Carnivora; Felidae. The record is from RNAcentral.
CUGCCAUGCAUAUCUCUUAGCCACAUGUUCAACAUGUAAACAUAUUACCCCCAAAAUCAAAUCUGCUAAAAUAAAUCUUUUGUGCAUUAUGGAAAACUUCAAACAUAUACAAAAGUCAAGGAGCCACCAAUGUUCAGGCACUCAUUAUCCUCAACUCAUGGCCAAUCCCACUUCGUCCAUCCCUAGCCAUAUAUUUUGAAGCAAACCUCAGAGAUGGUAUCAUGUCAUCUGCAAAUGUCACUGCGCUUCUAAAGACUGAGAAUGCUCUUUUACAACAUGGUACUGGGAUCACAACUCUGGUAAAAAGUAAUGAUGAUUCCUUAAUAUCAUCAAAAAGCCAAUCAGUGUUCAAUUUUUUUUUUUAGCAGCAUCCAGUCUGAUACAUCAGGGUUGGGAUUUGCACCUUGCAAAUUGUUUUAGGAAACAGCCGGAGGCUGUCCGGGUGAAUGAUUCCAUCCCUCCGUUUUCUUCACAGACAGGAACGUCAUAGCCAAACCCACAGUGGGUUUUGCCAAGAACUCCAAAAAAGACAAUCACGUGUCAAAUAACCAUGGAGACGCGGUUACAAAAGGAACACUUAUUCCUUGCUCCCUUGUUUAGCUGCUGAGCACUGAUGCAGGAGGCAGGCACCGCCUGGGGCUGCACACACCUGACGGUGUGCUCCUGGUCAGCUCCGCCUGAGCCUGCAAGGACUCGUCCAGCUGCUGUCAGUGUCAGCGCCGGGGAUUAGCGUGCCCUCCUGGGGGAGUCCAGCUGACCGCAGCGCUGGAAGAAUCGGAAUCUCCAGACUGUCCUUGUUAGUUUCUUCUAAUGGUUCAGCAGCAGUUUGAUAUGAAUCCAGCAGAGGACUUAUCUGAGGGAGCCACAGAGUGCCCAUCCACUGGACAUUUCUGUCUUGUUGUCAACGAAUCACUUGGCAUUGACCCAGGAGUCAGAUUAACCGGGUUAGAAAUCCCAAGUCUGCCAGUCACUAGCUGCAGGAUCUCGAGCAGAUCACAUCACCUCUUGUGCCUCAGUUUCCUCAUCUGCAAAGUGGCAGCCUGGGUAGAUGACUUGUGA